AGGGUGACUAUGAUGGGGCGGAACCAAAAGUGGCGGAGAAAGGUUCCGCCCGAAGAUGGUUUCCGCCCGGACUCGAUUUUUAACGACACUAUUUUACUUCCUGGUCUCCCUAGCAACACAGAUGAUGGGCAAAUGAGCAACAGGUGCGACAGAUUAGCUGGGAACUCAUGAUUGGAGGAGGGAACAGAGACAAGACAUAAAAAGGCCCAAAGAAGCCCAAAUGAGAGGGUUGUUGUAGGCACGAGUUCCUUUUUGCCUAGGGCAGACUCGAUCACACGCUCCGUCCUUGGAGGAGCCGGAGGGCGCCGCUGAUCCACAAAGCGCUUAUAGCGGAAGGAAAGAGUGCGGCAGCCAAGAGAGGCGAAAAGGACGGAGCGUGAGAAUUAAAGGAACACUGCACUGGAGUGCCUCUCUGUGGUGCCGGUGUUGGUGUACUGUUGGCUGUGUCAUAGGCUGGAGAGCGACGAUCUAAUUCCCUUGGGGAAGAAAGAAACAGGAAGAGGUGGAUGUUUACCGUGAGGAGGAAUUUAUGUGAGGAUAACUGGGUGAAGAAAGCAACAUGAGACGGGUUGACAUGUGAGUACAGCUGGGAUACUGUAUAUACGUUGCAGAGGUGAAAUUAUUGUGCAUGUUUGGAGUGUCUAUUUAUAGUUCCGGCCCCACCGGAGGAAUAAGCGUGGGUGAGCUGAUGGACGUCUAGUGUAUACGAAGAACAAAUCCAGAAGUAAUCGCUUUCCACCUUUCCUGUGUGUUGGAAAUUUCGGCCGACGAGCCACAGGAGGAAUCUGAGAUUAGCUGCCUAUGUCCUUACCUCACAACGAGUGUGUGCGUGUGAUGCUGUGGGUGAGUCCCGAUUUUCAAUUUAUGUGUUUUCACUGAAGCUUGCAGUGUAGUGCUGUGCUUUCUUUUGGAGAUAGAGACUGUUUCAUCCCCGAGGCUCCGUGUGAAAAUAACUGUGUCGAACUGACCAGCGCAGUGGAUAGGAAUUACUUGCCUGUAACAAUAGUGUGAUUUGUGGAGAAACCAGAAAGCCCAGUCUGUGAGUCACGCACUUCUAUGAAUGCUAACUUACCUCUGCUCCUAGCAAUCCUGUGCAGAACGAUCCAGAGCCCUAAGUUGUGAGUAACGUGUGUUAUCAAGCGACCACUUACCUCUGUCCUCAGCGAACCUGUGGAGAAACCAGAAAGCCCAGUCUGUGAGUCACGCACUUCUAUGAAUGCUAACUUACCUCUGCUCUUAGCAACCCUGUGCAGAAUGGUCCAAAGCCCCAAGUUGUGAGUAACGUGUGUUAUUAAAUGACCACUUACCUCUGUCCUCAGCGAACCUGUGGAGAAACCAGAAAGCCCAGUCUUGAACCUGUGGAGAAACCAGAAAGCCCAGUCUCGAACCUGUGGAGAAACCAGAAAGCCCAGUCUUGAAUCCGUGAGGAGGAGCAAAGGGUCCCAGAGUCCGGAGAACCCCCCCCCCUCACGCCCUGUGGAACUCCGUCUGAAACCAGAGGGAGAAAGAAGUGUUUUAAACUGCCCUUCCCCUUUCCCCUUUUUGCUUUUAAAUAUUUAAUAAAGUUGUAUUUUAAAUUUGA
Misgurnus anguillicaudatus (oriental weatherfish) is the source of this 1582-nucleotide non-coding RNA. Lineage: Eukaryota; Metazoa; Chordata; Actinopteri; Cypriniformes; Cobitidae. The record is from RefSeq and is a predicted model, not a curated record.